AAUGAACGCUGGCGGCGUGCUUAACACAUGCAAGUCGAACGCUUCAGCAAUGAAGAGUGGCAGACGGGUGAGUAACGCGUGGGAACCUUCCCAGUGGUACGGAAUAGCCCAGGGAAACUUGGGGUAAUACCGUAUAAGCCCUUCGGGGGAAAGAUUUAUCGCCAUUGGAUGGGCCCGCGUCGGAUUAGCUUGUUGGUGAGGUAAAAGCUCACCAAGGCGACGAUCCGUAGCUGGUCUGAGAGGAUGAUCAGCCACACUGGGACUGAGACACGGCCCAGACUCCUACGGGAGGCAGCAGUGGGGAAUAUUGGACAAUGGGCGCAAGCCUGAUCCAGCCAUGCCGCGUGAGUGACGAAGGCCUUAGGGUUGUAAAGCUCUUUUGGCGGGGACGAUAAUGACGGUACCCGCAGAAUAAGCUCCGGCUAACUUCGUG
This 433-nucleotide ribosomal RNA is filed under the name uncultured bacterium. RNAcentral describes it as "bacterial SSU rRNA". It matches the Rfam family "Bacterial small subunit ribosomal RNA", at positions 29 to 507 of the family's 1533-position model. The record is from RNAcentral.